UACGUAGGGGGCGAGCGUUGUCCGGAUUCAUUGGGCGUAAAGCGCUUUAAGGCGGUUCGCUAAGUCGGGUGUGAAACCUCCAGGCUCAACCUGGAGACGCCACUCGAUACUGGCGUGACUAGAGUUCGGUAGGGGACCACGGAAUUCCUGGUGUAGCGGUGAAAUGCGUAGAUAUCAGGAGGAACACCUGCGGUGUAGACGGCUUACUGGACCAUAACUGACGCUGAGGCACGAAAGCGUGGGUAGCAAACGGG
This 254-nucleotide ribosomal RNA is filed under the name uncultured bacterium. RNAcentral's name for it is "partial 16S ribosomal RNA". It matches the Rfam family "Bacterial small subunit ribosomal RNA", at positions 524 to 776 of the family's 1533-position model. The record is from RNAcentral.